UAUUGAAUGACUAAAAUACCUCACCCCCAGUCCUGCACCACAAGGCACCAGCAGGGUAGAAUUGGAAAACACGGAACAACCUUUGCUAGAUUUCCCAAUAUAAAUAUUAGCCACUGCAGAUGUUCAAGCAGAUUAGGGUUUCUGUUGCCGCCACACUCCCUCCUCCCUGAAUGAGAUGUCUCUGCUUUGAUGCUUCCACAAAACCCUAAUCUCGUGGCUAUUUCAUUUGUUUCAUCCUGCACCUCCAUAUUUUCUUAAUAAUAACAAUAAUAAUUGGCGCAUUUCUUUUUUUCUCUCUCUUUUUCCCUCUUUCAGUGUCUCAAUUGACACUGCUAAAUUACUUGUUCCUUUUUUUCUUUUUCUUUUUCUUUUAUACUUCAGGGCCAUGUCUUGUUCUCUUCUGUUUCUCUGAACCAAAAGAGGCUGUGAAGAUUGUUUUGGAGUGUGGACCCGAUACGUCGGUCGCCGUCAAACAUUGGUCGCCGGUGGCGAGGCAACGUUAUCGCUUGUGUGAUCUUGUUGCAGCCAUCCGUGGUGGUGUUGUUUUUCGACUUCCGAUCUGUCGUUGUGAUAGAUCUGAGCCUCCGUGAUUCGCGCUCGAAUAUUUCCAUCGUCGGCAAUGUCUCAACGUAGUAUUUGUCAGAGGUGUAUGGAGUGAGAGAAGGGAAAAACGCCUUUCCCGAUCUCAUCGGUUAUUUCUUUCCUCUCUCAUUCCAUACAUCGUCCGACGAACGUAUCGUUGAUCGGUUCUGCAUGGUUUUGGUUUCACUUUGUACCCUCCCUGGAAACCCUAAUUUACUUUAAUUUUUUGGUAUUUGAGUAGUGUGUGACAUGUGGUCGAUGCGUUUGCUGUAUUUUAAUUUCAGGAUGGGCUUAAAGUGAAGUUCUGCUAUUCGGUUAUCUUCGAGCUGUCUAAGAAAACACGCUUGGUGUACAUUUCACGGAAUAACUAGUCACAAUAUUCUAUAUCAAUGUUUAUAUUUCUGAUUUUCUAUGUAAUGUUCAUCAACGGUUUGUAUAGGAGUUUGAACCGUACUUGUUCCAUUCAUGUAACAAUAUAUUUAUAGUUAGAUUGUAAUAGAAUCCAAUUCUUAAAUUGUUGUGUAAUUGUAUGAUUGGGGAAGUCAUUUAAAGUUGUUACGAUUGCAUUUGAAGAAAGAAGAUUAAUUAC
Molecule: long non-coding RNA, 1171 nt
Organism: Vigna umbellata (rice bean)
Lineage: Eukaryota; Viridiplantae; Streptophyta; Magnoliopsida; Fabales; Fabaceae
Source: RefSeq, a predicted model, not a curated record